Molecule: transfer RNA, 74 nt
Filed under: Cheiraster sp. SS-2022
Lineage: Eukaryota; Metazoa; Echinodermata; Asteroidea; Notomyotida; Benthopectinidae
Description: tRNA-Met
Source: RNAcentral
AAGUAAAGUAAGCUAAUAAUAAGCUGUUGGGUUCAUACUUCGAUAAUGGUAAGAUAGAUACUUCCCUUUACUUA